RNAcentral lists this ribosomal RNA (471 nucleotides) under uncultured bacterium. RNAcentral describes it as "partial 16S ribosomal RNA". It matches the Rfam family "Bacterial small subunit ribosomal RNA", at positions 28 to 507 of the family's 1533-position model. The record is from RNAcentral.
GACGAACGCUGGCGGCGUGCUUAACACAUGCAAGUCGAACGAUGAAGCGGUGCUUGCACCGUGGCUUAGUGGCGAACGGGUGAGUAAUACGUGAGUGACCUACCUUUGACUCUGGGAUAAGCCUGGGAAACUGGGUCUAAUACCGGAUACGACCAAUCUCUGCAUGGGGUGUUGGUGGAAAGCGUUAUGGAGUGGUUUUAGAUGGGCUCACGGCCUAUCAGCUUGUUGGUGAGGUAAUGGCUUACCAAGGCGACGACGGGUAGCCGGCCUGAGAGGGUGACCGGCCACACUGGGACUGAGACACGGCCCAGACUCCUACGGGAGGCAGCAGUGGGGAAUAUUGCACAAUGGGCGCUAGCCUGAUGCAGCGACGCCGCGUGAGGGAUGACGGCCUUCGGGUUGUAAACCUCUGUUAGCAUCGAAGAAGCGAAAGUGACGGUAGGUGCAGAGAAAGCGCCGGCUAACUACGUG